Molecule: ribosomal RNA, 625 nt
Filed under: uncultured organism
Description: bacterial SSU rRNA
Rfam family: Bacterial small subunit ribosomal RNA
Source: RNAcentral
GCAAGUCGAGCGAUGAGACUCCUACGGGAGCACAUCAGCGGCAGACGGGUGAGUAACACGUAGAUGACGUACCCUCAAGACGGGGAUAACGGAGGGAAACAUGCGCUAAUACCGGAUGACCUUACGAUGUCAGAAUGGUAAGGAAAGCUACGGCGCUUGAGGAGCGGUCUGCGGCCCAUCAGCUAGUUGGUAGGGUAAAGGCCUACCAAGGCGAAGACGGGUAGGGGGUGUGAGGGCACGGUCCCCCACAAUGGGACUGAGACACGGCCCAUACUCCUACGGGAGGCAGCAGCAGGGAAUAUUGCACAAUGGACGGAAGUCUGAUGCAGCGACGCCGCGUGAGUGAAGAAGGCCUUCGGGUUGUAAAACUCUUUUGAGGGGGAAGAGCGAGGACGGUACCCCUGGAAUAGGCGUCGGCUAACUACGUGCCAGCAGCCGCGGUAAGACGUAGGACGCGAGCGUUAUCCAGAUUUACUGGGCGUAAAGCGUCUGUAGGCGGAUGUGUCAGUUGGGCGUGAAAGCUCCGGGCUUAACCCGGAGAGGCCGUUCGAUACUGCAUAACUUGAGGGUGUCAGAGGGGAGCGGAAUCCCGGUGUAGCGGUCGAGUGCGCAGAGAUCGGGAGGA